AUAUAGAAAGAGAGAGGGCACAUCUCCACACACGCCCCCUUUUUCUUCUUGCGCGCGUGAAAGAUAAGGGGGUGCCAAUAGUUGGCACCUCAUCUUAUCUGGGAUUCUUUCUCCCCUUUGACUCAUCUUUCCUUUUGAAUUUGAUUUAAAAGAAAAAUAUAUCAGAUAAGGAUCAGUUUUGGGUGUGGGAUGUUAUUUUUGUGUGACAAAAAUAUUGGGAAAAGAAGGGAUGC
RNAcentral lists this long non-coding RNA (233 nucleotides) under Elaeis guineensis (African oil palm). Its description in RNAcentral is "long non-coding RNA (EGUI_LNC057769)". The record is from RNAcentral. Lineage: Eukaryota; Viridiplantae; Streptophyta; Magnoliopsida; Arecales; Arecaceae.